RNAcentral lists this long non-coding RNA (881 nucleotides) under Citrus sinensis (sweet orange). Its description in RNAcentral is "long non-coding RNA (CSIN_LNC001673)". Lineage: Eukaryota; Viridiplantae; Streptophyta; Magnoliopsida; Sapindales; Rutaceae. The record is from RNAcentral.
AAUGGCCAACCCUUACGUGACAAGUGGUAUCAGAGCUAAGGUUUGCACGCACGCAAAUUAGCUCACAAAGCAAUGGCCAACCCUUCGAACUUAGCACAAGAGGGUGUUGUUGGUGUGGAUGUUCCACCGGAACCAAGCCGUGGCCGAGAGGGAGAACGCGCCCAAGGCAAGACUCGCGGCAAGUCCAAGGCCCCAUCCGUAGAUGCGUUGGAGCCUCUUGUGACUACUCGAAAUCGUCAAGACUCGCGGCAAGUCCAAGGCCCUAUCCGUGGAUGCGUUGGAGCCUCGUGUAGGCACUCUCGAAAUAGCAUUGUCCGCCACUCAAGAUAGCCUCUUGGGAUUGGAGGAAAGAGUGGAUGGUCUCGAGGGAGAAUACGCCGAGUUCACGGUGGCCACAAAAGCUCUCAUCCAUGAGCAAGCGAACAUUCUCCGAGGUGAGUUUCGUUCUUUCCAUGAUGAGUUGUUCAAACUUCGUAGUUUUGUUCAGGACGAACUACGUACUGUCCGUGCGGAAGUGGAUGAAGUCCGCUCGGAUUGGGCAUGGCACAAGCGCACACUCUCCACAAGUCCAGCUUCCGCAAACUCGAGUGAUGCGCGCCGCAUUGACGUGCCAAAGCCUGACACCUACGAUGGCACACGCAAUGCCACCAUCGUGGACAAUUUCCUCUUUGGGCUGGAUCAAUACUUCGAUGCCAUGGGUGUCCGAGAUGAGGCAUCGAAAGUGGGCACUGCACCCACCUAUCUUAGAGGCGCUGCACAACUAUGGUGGCGUCGCAAGCAUGGCGAGAUGGGCAAGGGCAUUUGCGCCAUCGACACUUGGGCCGACUUCAAGCAAGAACUCCGAAAGCAGUUCGCCCCAAGCAAUGCGGAGAAAGAAGCGC